UAGUCAUACGCUCGACUCAAAGAUUAAGCCAUGCAUGUUUAAGUAUGAGCACAGUAUAGUGUGAAACCGCGAAUGGCUCAGUAAAUCGGUUGUGGUCUCUUGGAUCUGAAUAAAGUUUACUUGGAUAUCUGUGGUAAUUCUAGAGCUAAUACAUGCCUAUCUAAGCUUCGUCCUCGUGAGAGAACGGAGUGCAUUGAUUAGAUCAAGACCAGCGGGGGUAGGUGAGAUGGCUUUCUUUCGGGGAGUUGUUUCGUUUUAUGUCUGCCCCCUUUAUAACUGGUGACUCUGAAUAACCACGCAGAUCGCAUGGCCUUGUGCCGGUGACAGUUCGAUUGAGUGUCUGAACUAUCAGCUUGACGGUAGGUUACGAGCCUACCGUGGCUGUGACGGCUGACGGGGAAUCUGGGUUCGAUUCCGGAGAGGCAGCCUGAGAAACGGCUACCACAUCCAAGGAAGGCAGCAGACGCGCAAAUUACCCAAUCCCAGCACGGGGAGGUAGUGACGAAAAAUAACGGUGCAGUGCUCGUCAGAGUUUCUGUAAUUGGAAUGAGUCAGAUCUAAAUCCUCGAACGAGGAUCAAUUGGAGGGCAAGUCUGGUGCCAGCAGCCGCGGUAAUUCCAGCUCCAAGAGCGCAUAUUAAAGUUGUUGCGGUUAAAACGCUCGUAGUGAUAAGUCGGUGCCGGUUUGUUCGGUCCGCGCGAGUUUCGCGGUUACUGUUCUGACCGGUACGGAAUGCCCCGGUCGCCUACUGAUUCCCUUCAACAGGUGUUAGUUGGUGGCGGGCACGUUUACUUUGAGAAAACCAGUGUGCUUAAAGGGUGGCACUUUCUAAUGAAUGCUUGAAUGUUGUUGCAUGGAAUAAUGGAAUAGGACCUUGGCUCAAUUUUGUUGGUUUCUUGGGAGCUAAGGUAAUGAUAAAUGGGAGUAGUGACGGGGGCAUUCGUACUGCGGCGCGAGAGGUGAAAUUCUUGGACCGCCGCGGGACGCACUGAGGCGAAGGCGUUUGUCAAGAACGCUUCCAUCAAUCAAGAGCGAAAGCUAGAGGUUCGAAGGCGAUCAGAUACCGCCCUAGUUCUAGCCAUAAACGAUGCCGACCGCUGAUCCGCCGUGGUUACUUUAUUGACCCGGCGGGACGACUGUGGGAAACCAGAGUCUUUGGGUUCCGGGGGAAGUAUGGUCGCAAGGCUGGAACUUAAAGGCAUUGACGGAAAGGCACCACCAGGAGUGGGGCCUGCGGCUUAAUUUGACUCAACACGGGAAACCCUACCAGGCCCGGACACCGGAAGGAUUGACAGAUUGAGGGCUCUUUCUUGAUUCGGUGGGUGGUGGUGCAUGGCCGUUCUUAGUUCGUGGAGUGAUCUGUCUGGUUAAUUCCGAUAACGAACGAGGCUCCAACCUACUAACUAGGGUGUUUUAGUUCGAGGUGCAUUAAUCGGCAGGCCAUUCUUCAUGUUUGGUACUGUACGAAAACUCGGCCGUACUUCUUAGGGGGACGAGUAGCUUUCAGCUGCACGAAACGGAGCAAUAACAGGUCUGUGAUGCCCUCAGAUGUCCUGGGCUGCACGCGCGCCACAAUGGAGGUCUCAGCGCGUUCUCCCCGCCCUUGAGGGCUGGGUAAUCGCUGAAAGUCCGCUUCUUAGUGGGGAUAGGGGACUGAAAUGUUCCCUUGCACAAGGAAUUCCUAGUAGGCGCCUCUCACUAAUCGGGGACGAUUGCGUCCCUGCCCUUUGUACACACCGCCCGUCGCUACUACCGAUUGAAUGGUCCAGUGAGGCCUUUGGACUGUCUUGUGCUGAUGUCUCAUGAUGUUGGUAACAGGAUGGAAAUCUGUCCAAACUUGAUCGUUUAGAGGAAGUAAAAGUCGUAACAAGGUUUCUGUAG
This 1881-nucleotide ribosomal RNA is filed under the name Polycopetta quadrispinata. RNAcentral describes it as "SSU rRNA". It matches the Rfam family "Eukaryotic small subunit ribosomal RNA". Lineage: Eukaryota; Metazoa; Arthropoda; Ostracoda; Halocyprida; Polycopidae. The record is from RNAcentral.